Molecule: ribosomal RNA, 505 nt
Filed under: uncultured organism
Description: bacterial SSU rRNA
Rfam family: Bacterial small subunit ribosomal RNA
Source: RNAcentral
GACGAACGCUGGCGGCGUGCCUAAUACAUGCAAGUCGAACGCUUCUUUUCCGCCGAACUUCGGUUCAUUGGAAAAGAGGAGUGGCGAACGGGUGAGUAACACGUGGGUAACCUGCCCAUCAGAGGGGGAUAACACUUGGAAACAGGUGCUAAUACCGCAUAACGCUUUUUCUCGCAUGAGAGAAAGCUGAAAGGCGCUUUUGCGUCACUGAUGGAUGGACCCGCGGUGCAUUAGCUAGUUGGUGAGGUAACGGCUCACCAAGGCAACGAUGCAUAGCCGACCUGAGAGGGUGAUCGGCCACACUGGGACUGAGACACGGCCCAGACUCCUACGGGAGGCAGCAGUAGGGAAUCUUCGGCAAUGGACGAAAGUCUGACCGAGCAACGCCGCGUGAGUGAAGAAGGUUUUCGGAUCGUAAAACUCUGUUGUUAGAGAAGAACAAGGAUGAGAAGAGAAUGUUCAUCCCUUGACGGUAUCUAACCAGAAAGCCACGGCUAACUACGUG